RNAcentral lists this ribosomal RNA (105 nucleotides) under Punica granatum (pomegranate). Lineage: Eukaryota; Viridiplantae; Streptophyta; Magnoliopsida; Myrtales; Lythraceae. The record is from RNAcentral.
CGGUGCGAUCAUACCAGCACGAAUGCACCGGAUCCCAUUAGAACUCCGAAGUUAAGUGUGCUUGGGCGAGAGUAGUACUCGCAAAAGGCUUAAGGUUCGCGGUGA